Non-coding RNA from Acanthosepion pharaonis, 91 nucleotides. The record is from the annotation of a GenBank genome assembly. NCBI's taxonomy places the organism in Eukaryota, Metazoa, Mollusca, Cephalopoda, Sepiida, Sepiidae.
AUCACAUCAAAACACAGGUUCCUGCAUGAUCACCGAAGUUAAGCAACAUUAGGCCUGGUCAGUACUUAGAUGGGUGACUGCCUAGGAAACU